Molecule: long non-coding RNA, 248 nt
Filed under: Cairina moschata (Muscovy duck)
Lineage: Eukaryota; Metazoa; Chordata; Aves; Anseriformes; Anatidae
Description: domestica (muscovy Duck (domestic type)) lncRNA (ENSCMMG00000001615.1)
Source: RNAcentral
UCAAAGGAAAAAGGAGGUGGACAGCACUAUUUCAUCCAAAGCAAAAAGACUAGAAGGCUGGGACAACUGUCCUAUAUGCAAGAGUCAUCAGAAGUAUUCCAGGUCUGUGAGAAGAAACUACUCAAGAAGAAUGCACCUAUGCAGUUUUAAAAAAAAUAUAUUUCUGUAAUCUGAAAGAUUACAGAAGAAUAUGUUUCUGUAAUGUUUAAUUUCAGUUUGGUAUGAAAUUAAAAUAUGUUUGUCAAAAG